AGUGAACGCUGGCGGUAGGCCUAACACAUGCAAGUCGAACGGCAGCACAGUAAGAGCUUGCUCUUACGGGUGGCGAGUGGCGUACGGGUGAGGUAUACUUCGGAAUCUACUUUUUCGUUGGGGAUAACGUAGGGAAACUUACGCUAAUACCGCAUACGUCCUACGUGUGUAAUCAGUGGAUCUUCGGACCUUGCGCUUUUCAUUGUUCCGAUGUCGGAUUUGCUAGUUGGCGGGGUAAAGGCCCACCAAGGCGACGAUCCGUAGCUGGUCUGAGAGGAUGAUAAGCCACACUGGAACUGAGACACGGUCCAGACUACUACGGGAGGAAGCAGUGGGGAAUAUUGGACAAUGGGCGAAAGCCUGAUCCAGCCAUACCGCGUGGGAGAAGAAGGACUUCGGGUUGUAAAGCCCUUUUGUUGGGAAAGAAAAGCAGCAGGUUAAUACCCCGCUGUUCUGACGGUACCCAAAGAAUAAGCACCGGCUAACUUCGUG
This 492-nucleotide ribosomal RNA is filed under the name uncultured bacterium. RNAcentral's name for it is "partial 16S ribosomal RNA". It matches the Rfam family "Bacterial small subunit ribosomal RNA", at positions 29 to 507 of the family's 1533-position model. The record is from RNAcentral.